UUUUUAAUAUGUCCCUGACACAAUGCAGCCCUCAUCUGAUUGAUUGCCAGCCAGGAAUUCUCAUCUGUUUAGGCCCUUAUUGAGAUUUCUUUGAUGGAAGUUUUCUUCUAGUGAGGGAAACUCACUGUUUAGUCUUCAGCCCAGUUAAGUGACCACAAAAGUCACCAGUCAUCUAGGCUACCCGCAUCAGGGCAAUCCUUAUAUGUGCAAGUGUUGCCUGCCUUGCAAAUAGCACGAGGAAUACAGAGGGCGACACUGUGCUCCCCCUUCAAUAUAAUGAGCCUGCUGAGAGUCUCAGUGCGUCUUCUAGGAAUAUGACUGUUUUUCACUGUCAUAUCAAACACGUGUUACAUCCAGAGAGGUGGACUUGAGUCAAAUAAAUGACUUGAGACUCAACUUGGACCUGAAAGUAAAAGACUCUUGCCUCGACGUGACUUGAAAUAAAGCAAUCAAAGAUUAUAAUACAAACUUAAUUCAUUGUUUCACUUUUCUAGCAGGUUAGAUUAAACCACAUACUGAAAAUGAGAAUCUGAGAACUUGCUCAUGAAAAGAAAUGGUUUGAGCCCCGGGGGACCAAAUGACUUGAGUCACAUGUCUGUUUACAUUUCAUGACCUCAAUGUUUUCACUGAUGCUUACACUAAGUACCUGCUGUUACAGGCCUGUCUUAUAUGUUAUUAAUUGAUAAAAAAUGUACAUUUUUCAAUUUUAUAUAAUUCUGACUAUUUCCUUACUGUGACAUAAAUAAUAAACAUUUUGCCAUAUCACCGUUUAAAA
Long non-coding RNA from Acanthopagrus latus (yellowfin seabream), 775 nucleotides. RefSeq lists it as uncharacterized. Lineage: Eukaryota; Metazoa; Chordata; Actinopteri; Spariformes; Sparidae. The record is from RefSeq and is a predicted model, not a curated record. The transcript is spliced from 3 exons.